This 1330-nucleotide ribosomal RNA is filed under the name Mycolicibacterium austroafricanum. RNAcentral describes it as "bacterial SSU rRNA". It matches the Rfam family "Bacterial small subunit ribosomal RNA", at positions 88 to 1428 of the family's 1533-position model. The record is from RNAcentral. Lineage: Bacteria; Bacillati; Actinomycetota; Actinomycetes; Mycobacteriales; Mycobacteriaceae.
UACUCGAGUGGCGAACGGGUGAGUAACACGUGGGUGAUCUGCCCUGCACUUUGGGAUAAGCCUGGGAAACUGGGUCUAAUACCGAAUACACCCUUCUGGCUGCAUGGUCUGGUUGGGGAAAGCUUUUGCGGUGUGGGAUGGGCCCGCGGCCUAUCAGCUUGUUGGUGAGGUUACGGCUCACCAAGGCGACGACGGGUAGCCGGCCUGAGAGGGUGACCGGCCACACUGGGACUGAGAUACGGCCCAGACUCCUACGGGAGGCAGCAGUGGGGAAUAUUGCACAAUGGGCGCAAGCCUGAUGCAGCGACGCCGCGUGAGGGAUGACGGCCUUCGGGUUGUAAACCUCUUUCGCCAGGGACGAAGCGCAAGUGACGGUACCUGGAGAAGAAGGACCGGCCAACUACGUGCCAGCAGCCGCGGUAAUACGUAGGGUCCGAGCGUUGUCCGGAAUUACUGGGCGUAAAGAGCUCGUAGGUGGUUUGUCGCGUUGUUCGUGAAAACUCACAGCUCAACUGUGGGCGUGCGGGCGAUACGGGCAGACUGGAGUACUGCAGGGGAGACUGGAAUUCCUGGUGUAGCGGUGGAAUGCGCAGAUAUCAGGAGGAACACCGGUGGCGAAGGCGGGUCUCUGGGCAGUAACUGACGCUGAGGAGCGAAAGCGUGGGGAGCGAACAGGAUUAGAUACCCUGGUAGUCCACGCCGUAAACGGUGGGUACUAGGUGUGGGUUUCCUUCCUUGGGAUCCGUGCCGUAGCUAACGCAUUAAGUACCCCGCCUGGGGAGUACGGCCGCAAGGCUAAAACUCAAAGAAAUUGACGGGGGCCCGCACAAGCGGCGGAGCAUGUGGAUUAAUUCGAUGCAACGCGAAGAACCUUACCUGGGUUUGACAUGCACAGGACGUGCCUAGAGAUAGGUAUUCCCUUGUGGCCUGUGUGCAGGUGGUGCAUGGCUGUCGUCAGCUCGUGUCGUGAGAUGUUGGGUUAAGUCCCGCAACGAGCGCAACCCUUAUCUUAUGUUGCCAGCGCGUAAUGGCGGGGACUCGUGAGAGACUGCCGGGGUCAACUCGGAGGAAGGUGGGGAUGACGUCAAGUCAUCAUGCCCCUUAUGUCCAGGGCUUCACACAUGCUACAAUGGCCGGUACAAAGGGCUGCGAUGCCGUGAGGUGGAGCGAAUCCUUUCAAAGCCGGUCUCAGUUCGGAUCGGGGUCUGCAACUCGACCCCGUGAAGUCGGAGUCGCUAGUAAUCGCAGAUCAGCAACGCUGCGGUGAAUACGUUCCCGGGCCUUGUACACACCGCCCGUCACGUCAUGAAAGUCGGUAACACCCGAAGCC